CACCACCAACACUAGUCCAUUACAUCAAGACUCACCAACAGCACACAAACCAGGUAGCACAGCUUGUGGCUUCCCCCUGCCCAUGGUGAAACCCCGGGUGCCAUCAGGCAUGCGGGGGCCUGGUGGAAGCUUGUUGGCCCCAAUCGGCAGCUGCGGGUACUGCUCGGGCUUGGUUAUCAGGUUAUGCGGUGGAGUGCCAACAGGGUGGGGGCUGCCACGGUUCCCACCAAGGUGGUUGUUGCCAUGGUGAUUGUAGUGCUGCUGGUUGUUCUGGUGGUGCUGGUUAUUGUUAUAUUGAUGGUUGCCACGCCCACGCCCUCUGCCACCGCGGCCGCGCCCUUUGCCGCGUUUGGGA
This 355-nucleotide long non-coding RNA is filed under the name Sorghum bicolor (sorghum). RNAcentral's name for it is "long non-coding RNA (SBIC_LNC013791)". The record is from RNAcentral. Lineage: Eukaryota; Viridiplantae; Streptophyta; Magnoliopsida; Poales; Poaceae.